GACGGGCGGUGAGUACAUCCCGAAUACCCUGGGCGACACGCGCGCGGCAAUGCUGCAUUCAAAGGGAUGCGACACCGAGAGGUGAAGCUAAUCUCAUAAACUGCAGCCUAGUUCAGAUUGAGGAUUGCAACUCAUCCUCAUGACGCUGGAAUUCGUAGUAAUCGGGUUUUAUCAGAGCCCGGUGAAUAGGUCAAUGCCCCU
This 201-nucleotide ribosomal RNA is filed under the name uncultured archaeon. RNAcentral's name for it is "partial 16S rRNA". It matches the Rfam family "Archaeal small subunit ribosomal RNA", at positions 1137 to 1337 of the family's 1478-position model. The record is from RNAcentral.